GGGAACUGAAACAUCUAAGUACCCGGAGGAAGAGAAAACAAUAGUGAUUCCGCAAGUAGUGGCGAGCGAACGCGGAUUAGCCCAAACCGUAACAGUUACGGCUGUUGCGGGGUUGUAGGACUGCACUGUGGACUAUACAAACGAACUUGAACGACUUGGGAAAGUCGGCCAUAGAGGGUGAAAGCCCCGUAAAGGUAAGGUUGUAUUACCUAGCAGUAUCCUGAGUAGGGCGGGACCGGAGAAAUCCCGUCUGAAUCCACCGGCACCAUCCGGUAAGGCUAAAUACUCCUGAGAGACCGAUAGUGAACCAGUACCGUGCGGGAAAGGCGAAAAGAACCCCG
Molecule: ribosomal RNA, 341 nt
Filed under: Calcidiscus leptoporus
Lineage: Eukaryota; Haptophyta; Coccolithales; Calcidiscaceae
Description: partial Bacterial large subunit ribosomal RNA
Rfam family: Bacterial large subunit ribosomal RNA
Source: RNAcentral